RNAcentral lists this ribosomal RNA (216 nucleotides) under uncultured bacterium. Its description in RNAcentral is "partial 16S ribosomal RNA". It matches the Rfam family "Bacterial small subunit ribosomal RNA", at positions 118 to 351 of the family's 1533-position model. The record is from RNAcentral.
UGGGAACGUACCCUUUGGUUCGGAACAACCCAGGGAAACUUGGGCUAAUACCGGAUAAGUCCGUAAGGAGAAAGAUUUAUCGCCAAAGGAUCGGCCCGCGUCUGAUUAGCUAGUUGGCAGGGUAAUGGCCUACCAAGGCUACGAUCAGUAGCUGGUCUGAGAGGAUGAUCAGCCACAUUGGGACUGAGACACGGCCCAAACUCCUACGGGAGGCAG